This 25493-nucleotide long non-coding RNA is filed under the name Brassica rapa (field mustard). RNAcentral's name for it is "long non-coding RNA (BRAP_LNC005469)". The record is from RNAcentral. Lineage: Eukaryota; Viridiplantae; Streptophyta; Magnoliopsida; Brassicales; Brassicaceae.
UAUACAAUCAAUAGCUUUGAUUGGACUUUUUGCAGUAACUCUAGCAUUGGAGUUUUGUAAUGCCUUUUUCUGCAAAUUAGUUACCAGUCAAAACUUAUCAGAAAGAACAAAAGGCAAAAUGAAAGAGAAACAAUCACUCAUUUGGAAAUUUAGAUGAAAAGCAAGUCCAAUCACAAAGAAACAAUCCUAUAGUGGCCUUUGUUUCUGAUUAGGUUUUCCAAGUAGUCAAGGGUAAGAGUUGGGGAAAUUUGUAACAUCUCCAACUAAGACCUCACUUCCUUUUGUUUUUGAAACAAAAGGGAAAAGCCCAUUAAAAGUAAAACCCAUUAAGUUAAAUUUAGGAUUCUUCUCUUUUCUAUGCAAAAAAAUAUACUAAAAUUUUACAAAAAUUCAAAACCCAAAAACCCUAGCCGUCAGACAUCUUUCUUCUUUUCUUUAUCUUUCUUUGUGCCAAGCCGUCACCUUGUUAGGUCGUUGCUCGUCGCUUUCCAGACCACUGCGGAUUGUCGCGAUUGUUCUCUUCUCCACUGUCUUCCGUUGUUGUUCAUCAGAUCUGAAAAAUAAGCAUUUAUUUUUCUUCUCUCUAUUCUUCUUCUCUCUAUUCUUCUUUUCUUAUUUUCUGUUGAGAAUGAGAGUACAUAUCUGAUUCGUGACAUCGAAUAAAGCCAAGGUGAGAACACGACUGUUAACUCUUUUCAUGUCUCGUAAUACUUUGGGGCGUUAUCCCUUAUAAAUACUCCCUCUGUUCCUAAAAGAUCUAUGUUUUGGAAAAAUAUUUUGUUUUAAAAAGAUGUAUAUUUUAUGUUUUCUAUGAGAAAAUUGCAAACUUUAAGAAAAUUAAUUGAUUUUAUUAGAUUACUAUUAGCUAAAAGUUGUUGAAAGUUGAAAAUUACAGAAAACGAUAAAUUUACUAUAGUGAUUUAAUGCAUUUUCUUAAUAUGUAUGAAAACACUAAAAAGUCUAUCUUUUAGAAAUGGAGGGAGUAUUGUCUAGGUUUGAUUGUUGAUCUUAUUGAUGUGAUGAAUUGUUAGAUCAAGUUGUUGACUUGUGUUGAAAUUAUGGAAAACAACUAGUUGUGUAAGGUUGUUAAAUGGUAAACCAGUUGUGUGUUGAGAAAGAAUGAGAUGAUAGAUGUGUGAUAAGAAUUACAAUAAUAUUAUUUGAGAAGUCAAUUUUUUAGAUAUCACAUUCACAUUAAUUCUUACGAUGGUUAAUUACAUAGAUACACUUAACAAGUUAAAAUAUUAUAUCUAAUUACCAUUAUUAAAAACUAUGUAAUAACUUAUGCCAAUUAAAUUUUUAUUUUUAUAUUUUUCCAAAUAAAAUAAAAUUAAAUAGUUUUAUUUAAUAAAAAGGAAAUAGUCAUAUAAUAAAAAAAUAUAUUUACAAAAAUGAAAGAAAAUAUAUUUUAUAUAAUGUGAUUUCGUAAAAAGAAAAGUUCACAUAAAAUAGUUUUGAUGUUAAAAAUAUAAUCAUCACUUUAAAACACAAUAUUAAAAAAAAUUGAAAUUAAUAAAAUAUUUUAUUUAUAUCAAUCUAUUUUCUCAGAUUUGAAAAAGUCAAUUAAAAUAAAAUAUCAUUGCUUAACUAUAAAUAUUUUAUAAUUGCUACUAUUGAAAUGUUUAUUCAUUUUUCAUAAUUUUUUUUAUUUUUUUUUUAUUUACAUUUUCAAUAUAAAUUUUAUCAAACUACAUAACUAAAUAUAUACAAACUUUAUCCAAUCCUAAUCUACCACUAAAACUGUUUGAAGGCUUCGUAUUUUUAUUUUGGUUUUUAAAAUUUUAUAUAUUUAUACAACAUAAUUUACCUAUAAUAAAAUACAUAAACCAAUAUGAAUUUUAUGGUUAAGAUUAUUUAAAAUAUUUUUUAAAUUUAUAUAUUAUUAUUCUAAAGUAUAAAAUUAUUUAGAAUUUACAACAAAAAAAACAUUUUAUAAAUAUUAAUAUAUGUUCAUAAGUUUUCAAAAUAAUAUCAGUAAUGUUUGUUAUAAAACAUCAUACUUAUCCUCAUUUCAGUUUUUCUUCUAUUUUUACAAAUCCACAAAUAUCAAUUAUAUAAAAUAAUUUACGAAAUUAUAUAUAUAUAUAUAUACAUACAUAUUUACGAUAAAAACUGAACUAGUGAAAUAAAUAAAAUUAAUCAAAUUUAGUUUAUAACUAGAAUCAAAAGUAAUGGUGCUUUCAUUUGAAGAAAUGUGUUUAACACAAUAUAACCUACAAAAUGAGUAAUUUAAACAAUCUAAAUUUUUAUGCACAAAUCAAAAGUCUAAAUGCAAAAAAAAAAAAAAAUUAAUUAAUCAAAAUUUAAAGCUAUUUCAGUACAAAAAUAAUAUUAUGGUUAAAGUUAGAGAAGUAAAUACGAUACAAUAUACCCAAAAAAUAAUCAAAUCGAUUAGAUAUUAUAUAUUUAAUUACAUAUCUAGAUAAAAUAAUAUAAUAUUAUUUAAAAUAAAUCAUACAUAUAAAUUACAAAAUAAUAAAAAUUAAAAAUUAGAUUAUGAAUUAUUUUAUAAUUUAUUUAUGAUGUAAGUAAGUGCAUGAUUUAUGUUUAAAUUGCGGGUUCAAAAGUAUUAAACCAAAUCUAGUUUUUUCUUCAUCUGAAUUCCUAAUUUUGACUUAAUCAAUAUCAUUAAAACAAUGUUUGAAUGCUGUGCCCAUGCAAACGACAGUCUGCAAUGAGCUAUAUGGUUUAUGAAUAGAACGCAUCAAUUCGCCACUUAAGCGGUGAUGCAGAAGAAGUACAUAAAUAGCUAUAUUUUUUUUGUUUAAUUUCUUUUGCAUGUUCCGUGACCAGUUCUGUAUUUCUCUACUGAUUAUUCGAUCCAUCAGUUUGUAUCUGACUUUCUCUGUAAAUAUUAUCAACAAAAAAAAAAGGUUUGCUCAGACGAUGGAAAGCGGUUUCUCGUUGGCGGAGAGAGAAGAAGUAGAAGAUAACAAAAAUGAGAAAUCUGCAGGGACAAUGAUGAAGAAAGUGAGUUACAUGGCUGCUCCAAUGGUGGCAGUUUAUCUUUCUCAGUAUCUCCUUCAAGUUAUCUCCAUGAUUAUGGCCGGUCACUUGGACGAGCUCUCUCUCUCCAGCGUCGCUAUUGCCACUUCUCUUACCAACGUCACUGGCUUCAGCCUCCUCGUAAGAUAUUCCUCUCUGUGUUCCUGCAUCUCUCUCACUCUUUCUCUCUCUCUAACUUGACUUCAGGGCUGGAUCUGGACAUAGUCCAGGGAAGCAUUGGCUUUGGUCCCUAAAAUUUUUUGUAUAGACAUAAGUUUUAAAGAAAUAUUUAUAGCCUUCAAAAAUCACAUAUCUGGCCUUGCUUGACUUCGAUCAUUAGGUAGGAUUUUCAGGUGCUUUAGAGACAUUGUGUGGUCAAGCUUUUGGAGCAGAGCAGUUUAGAAAGAUUGGUUCAUACACUUACAGCUCAAUGAUAUGUCUUGUCUUGAUUUGUUUCCCAAUCUCUCUUCUUUGGGUUUACAUGGACAAACUCUUGGAGCUUUUCCACCAAGAUCCUCUCAUCUCUGAGUUAGCUUGUAGAUACUCCAUCUGGCUCAUACCGGCUUUAUUCGGAUGCGCUCUUCUUCAGCCUAUGACUCGCUAUUUCCAGUCACAAGGAUUGGUUCUUCCUCUCUUCUUGAGCUCUUUCGGAACUCUCUGUUUUCACAUUCCCCUUUGUUGGCUUCUUGUCUAUAAACUGAGAUUUGGAAUCGUCGGCGCCGCUUUGUCCAUCGGUUUUUCGCUUUGGUUAAACGUAGCUUUGCUCUGGGUUUUUAUGAGAGACUCUGCUCUGUAUCGCGAAACUAGUAAUCUUCAGGUGGAAGAAAUCUUCUCGAGCAUGAAGCAGUUCAUCUCUCUUGCGAUUCCCACUGCAAUGAUGACUUGGUAACUAUGUUUUCUCUGUUUCUUGAUUCUGAUUUUCAACUGAUGCUUAAUUCUUGUAUCUCUUUUGGGGUGUAAUUAAAGCCUAGAAUGGUGGUCAUUUGAGCUUCUGUUACUAUUGUCUGGACUCUUACCCAACUCAAAACUUGAAACAUCGGUGAUGUCCAUAUGGUAUGUGCAUAUAUCCCUUUGUAUAAUAUUAUACAGAUGACCACAGGUCAUUAACUCAACUAGAAAGGAACAAUGACUAUUGUAUCAGAGAUCCAAAGUUCCAGUGAAACUAAUAUUACAUGAUGUGGUUUCCACCUGAAGAAUUACGGUUUCGACCUAAAAUAUUUAUAUAUAUACAAAUGACCAUUGUUUAAAUAUUUAACUAAUAUGUGCAACUUUAGUACUUUACUCACUUUAUGUCUUCCUUGAACAGCCUCACAACUUCACUUCUGCAUUAUGUUUUCGUGGAUGCAAUAGGUGCAGCCGCAAGGUAUAGUAACAUUACCAAUUGUUCAUAAGAAUAUAAUUCUUUAUGAAAAUUCUUCUUAACCAUUGUCUUGUUUAUAUAGCACACAUGUCUCAAACGAGCUAGGAGCUGGAAACCCUAAGGCAGCUCGAGCAGCGGCUAAUGCUGCACUUUACCUUGGCGCUUUUGAUGCUUCCUUUGUAUGCAUCACUCUUUACAGUUAUCGAAAACAAUGGGCCUAUAUCUUUAGCAAUGAGGAAGAGGUCGCUAACUAUGCAACAGAAAUAACACCGAUUCUCUGCCUAUCAAUUUUUGUCUGCAGCUUUACCUCCGUGCUCUCAGGUAAGCAAAAGUCAUAUCAAAUGGAAAAACCAUAUGCUGAAAUGAUAGCUUUUGUGAUUGUAUUUGUUACUUGAAAGCCAAGAAACUAAACGUAUAUGUUCUUCGCGAACACUGCAAUUCAUCAUUAACCUUAGGGAUUGCUAGAGGAGUAGGGUGGCAAAGUAUAGCAGGAUAUGCAAGCAUAGGAUCAUAUUAUCUAGUUGGUAUACCGGUUGGUUCAAUCUUAUGUUUUGUUGCGAAAUUGAGAGGAAGAGGACUUUGGAUUGGUAUUUUGAUAGGCUGCUUUGUCCAAACGAUGGUUCUUGCUAAUGUCACUUUUUUCACCAAUUGGGAGCAAGAGGUUUGUAUACCUUUCCUUCUCUAGUUACUUAUCUUCAUCAUUCUCUUAUAAUUAAAGUUAAUUUUUUCUCCAUUGGGCUCCAGGCAACAAAGGUGAGAGACAGAGUACUGGAGAUGACACCAAAAGGAAAUGACGAAACAGAAGUCAUAAAAGAGGAUGCGCAAGUUUUACUAAGUGACAUUUCAGAAAAUGUGUAACCCCAUUUGCAUUUGUUUCUAGUUCACAGAAGCAUUUGUUUAUGAAUCAAAUUAGAAUAUGUUUCUUCAACUGACUAUCGACAAGAGAUUAAAUGAUAAACUGGAAUCUGGGACAAUAAACAUAAAGGAGUGUUAGACAACUUCGGCUCAUAAAUGUUUCUCAUUUUGAUUGCCUCAAAUCUUCCUUAUAUGUACCUGUUCUAGACAAGUAUAUAUAUCAUCUAUGGAGAGAAACACAACAUUGACCUUGAAAAAACCUUGAUAUUUGAAAAAAUUAGACGUAAAAGCAAGUCCAAGCACAAACAAACAGUCUUAUAGUGAUAUUUGCUUCGAACUAGGGUUUGCAGGUAGUCAAGGCUAGAUAGGUGAUAACUGGUAAACCUUAAGUUACUUGAAAAUCAAGAAACAUCUCUGACCCAAAAAGGCUGGAAUAAUGGUGACUGGAAAGAAGACUUUAUAUUUUAAUAAGUCAGGUUUGUAUCAACUGUCCGACAAUAACUGAGAUUCUACUAAGCGUUCUAGUAUUAUAUUCAGACCACUAGGGUCUUUGUUUAAUUUUGUUUUGCAUGUUCUGUAUUUCUCUACUGAUUAUUCGAUCCAUCAGUUUGUAUUGACUUUCCCUGUAACCAUUAUCAACAACAAAAUAAAAAAGUUUGCUCGGACGAUGGAAAGCGGUUUCUCCUUGGCACAGAGAGAAGAAGGAAAUUACAAAAAUGAGAAAUCUGCAGGGAUGAUGAUGAAGAAAGUGAGCUACAUGGCUGCUCCAAUGGUGGCAGUUUCUGUUUCUACGUAUCUCCUUCAAGUUAUCUCCAUGGUUAUGGUCGGUCACUUAGACGAGCUCUCUCUCUCCAGCGUCGCCAUCGCCACUUCUCUUACCAACGUCACUGGCUUCAGCCUCCUCGUAAGAUAUUCCUCUCUCUUUCUCUUUUUCAUCUAACUUGACUAUAGGCCCGGAUCUCGGCAUAACCGAGAGAAACAUUGGUCUUGACUGACAAUUUUUUUAAGUUUUUUACAUAGAUAGAUGCUCCCAAAUAAUGAAACAAAAAAAAAUUAUUAAGAUUUUUAAAAAUGUUUAUUACCCUCAAAAUUUUAUAUCCAGCUUUGCUUGACUUCCGAUCAGUAGGUUGGGUUUUCAGGUGCGUUAGAGACAUUGUGUGGUCAAGCUUUUGGAGCAGAGCAAUACAGAAAGAUUGGUUCAUACACUUACAGCUCAAUGAUAUGUCUUGUCUUGAUUUGUUUCCCAAUCUCUCUUCUUUGGGUUAACAUGGACAAACUCUUCGAGCUUUUCCACCAAGAUCCUUUCAUCUCUGAGUUAGCUUGUAGAUACUCCAUCUGGCUCAUACCGGCUUUAUUCGGAUGCGCUCUUCUUCAGCCUAUGACUCGCUAUUUCCAGUCACAAGGAUUGGUUCUUCCUCUCUUCUUGAGCUCUUUUGGAGCUCUCUGUUUCCACAUUCCCUUUUGUUGGCUUCUUAUCUAUAAACUUAGAUAUGGAAUCGUUGGUGCCGCUUUGUCCAUCGGUGUUUCGCUUUGGUUAAACGUAGCUGUGCUUUGGGUUUUUAUGAGAGACUCUGCUCUGUAUCGUGAAACUAGGAAUCUUGAGCUGCAAGAAAUCUUCUCGAGCAUGAAGCAGUUCAUCUCUCUAGCGAUUCCCUCUGCAAUGAUGAUUUGGUAACUAAGUUUUCUCUGUUUCUUGAUUCUGAUUUUCAACUGAUGCUUAAUUCUUGUAUCUCUUUUGGGGUGUAAUUAAAGCCUAGAAUGGUGGUCAUUUGAGCUUCUGCUACUAUUGUCUGGACUCUUACCCAACUCAAAACUCGAAACAUCGGUGAUGUCCAUAUGGUAUGUGCAUAUAUCCCUUUGUAUAUAUUAUACAAAUGAUCCAUAUGUCACUUACAUUAAUGAUCCAAAAAUAUGUGAUUAGAUCCAAGAUAAAUGAACGAAAGAUGCAUUAUUUAAAAAUUCGUGUUAGGAUAUCCAAGAUCUAAUACUACAUCGGCUAAAAUGCAUCAUUUGUUACAAUUUAAAUUUUCAAUAACGUUUAACCAGUAAUAAUUCAAUUAAUAUUUUAAGUUUACAAUUUCUUUAUAGAAAACAUACAUUUUUUAAUUAAUAUGUCUCCUUGAGCAGCCUCACAACUUCUGGUCUGCAUUACGUUUUAGUGGAUGCAAUAGGUGCAGCCGCAAGGUAUAGCAACAUUACCAAUUGUUCAUAAGAAUAUAUUUUUUUGUGAAAAAUGUUUCUUAACCAUUGUCUUGCUUAUAUAGCACACAUGUCUCAAACGAGCUAGGAGCUGGAAACCCAAAGGCAGCUCGAGCAGCGGCCAAUGCUGCACUUUACCUUGGCGCUUUCGAUGCUUCCUUUGUAUGCAUCACUCUUUACAGUUAUCGAAAAACUUGGGCGUAUAUCUUUAGCAAUGAGGUAGAAGUCGCUCACUAUGCAACAAAACUCACACCGAUUCUCUGCCUAUCAAUCUUUAUCUGCAGCUCUACGGCCGUGCUCUCAGGUAAGCAAGUUAUAUCGAAUGGAAAAACCAUAUGCAGUAAAAUGUAGAGAUGGAGGCUUUUGUGAUUAUAUUUGUAACUUGAAAGCCAAGAAACUAAUGUACACUGCAAUUCAUCAUAUCCUUAGGGAUUGCGAGAGGAGCAGGGUGGCAACGUAUAGCAGGAUAUGCAAGCAUAGGAUCAUAUUAUCUGGUUGGUAUACCUGUGGGUUCAGUCUUAUGUUUUGUUGCGAAAUUGAGAGGGAGAGGACUUUGGAUUGGUAUAUUGUUAGGCUGCUUUUCUCAAACGAUGGUUCUUGCUCUUGUCACUUUUUUCACCAAUUGGGAGCAAGAGGUAUACCUUUCUUUCUCUAGUUACUUAUCUUCAUCAUUUUCUUAUAAUUAAAGUUUUGAAUUUUGUCUCGAUUGGGCUCUAGGCAACGAAGGCGAGGGAUAGAGUAUUGGAGAUGACACCUAAAGGAAACCAAGAAACAGAAAUCAUAAAAGAGGAUGCGCAAGUUCUACUAAGCAAUAUUUCAGAAAAUGUGUAACCCCAUGUCCAUAUGUUUCUGAUUUACACAAGCGUCUGUGUUUCUAGUUCACAUAAGCAUGUGUUUAUGAAUCAAAUAAGAAUAAGGCUUCAGGCAACAAAUUAAAUACGAUAAAGAGAGAGAGAGAGAGAGAGAGAGAGAGUCAGUAGAAACCCUAGCCCGCCGCGUUUCUCCGGCGGCGUUGUCGCUGUGUCGUCGCCGGAGAGUCACCCUUUACCUUCUUUUUUCUCCUUUUUCUUUUGCCUUCGUUAACGUCCCUUCCCCUCAGCGAGAUGCGUGUGAACUCUGGCUUCUUCGGCUCUUCAGAUCUCAGAUCUGGCCGUGUAGUGCGGUUUCCGAGUUUCUGGAGUCACAGCGAGUUGAGUCAGGAAGGUGUCGUUAUCGGAGGUCGGCUUUUAGGGUUGGAUUUUGGAUGGAGCUAUUUUCCCCUUGUCGCUCCGUGUACCUCCGUAGAUGUCUAAUCUGUGCCGUCGUCGCUCUCCUCCGAGCUUCAGUGUUCUUUCGCAGGCGUUAGUGGAUGAGCUCCGGUUGGAUUCGACAUCUGAACCCGUCUUUUCUUCAUUCCGGAAGAACUGAAACUCAUGCUCUUGGAGAUGUUGUUUCGCUCUGUUCCGGCGGCUCGGUUUUGGAGUCAAGACUAGGAACUCGUGAUGGAAGGUCUUGUGUGGCAGUUUACGCACCAGUUUGGUGGGGAACCCGUUUCUGUGUUUGAAAAGAAAUCUGCAACUAAGGUAUCUUCUCAUUAUGUGGUUCUUUUGGCUUGGAAUCCAUAUAAUAAGGCUGGAGUACGACUGAUAUCUGGACGGGACUUGAGGGUGAAGUAUGCGCCUUGGCGUUGAGUUGGUAUGAUCCAAGUUCUGAAUGUCAAUUAAGUGGUGAUCUCCAGCAAGGUCUUAGUUUGGAAUUCAUCUGUUAAGUUUAGUUUUCAGUUUUAGUCAAUGCUCGUGUAAUUAGUGGUUUAAGGGACAGUUCAUUUUCACCAUUUUGGUAAAGUGAAUUUGUUUCCAUGGUGGUCAAAGUGAUAGGUAGUUAGAUGAGGCAAUGUAGGAUCCAAAUAAGUGAUCUUAGAUGAUGCUACAUCUACUUCCAUAUAUCACAUUGUGGUUAAAGCCUCUUGAGGCAUUGUGGUCACAAUUGUUUGUAUCAAAACAUUUGGCUAAUGAUAAGUUGAUGUUGAGUUAAAAAAAAAAAAAAAAGAAUAAGGCUUCAAAUGUUUCCAAGCACACAACAGUUAAUAGUAAAAAAAUCUCUACAUAUAUCUAUGUAUCUAUAUAUUUUUGUUAUUAUUAGUACCACAUUGCAGUUGUUCUGCAAUUGUCCACAUUUUAUCAUUCGGAGCCUAUGUUUUUUGAAUUGACUAUUGACAAGAGUUGAACAAUGAACUGGAAUCUGGAACAAUAAAAUACUAUUAGACAACAAAUAUAUAGCAAACUGAAAUCAUAUUAUUCUGCUCAUAAAUGAUUUUCAUUUUGAUUACAUCGAAUCUUCCUUAUACGUACAUGUUCUAGACAACUAUAUAUUAUUUAUCGAGAGAAAGACAACAUUGACAUGGGGAAAUCCGAUGCCAUCUUCAAAAAUAGCCAAACUCAUUGACAGAAAUAUGACAAAUUGGCUUAUUUCACCUCGAGCAGCUGGAAGGUCGCAAAUACGAUAAGGGGUUGUGUGCGGUUCUCUUGUCAACCACCUGAUCUCAUGAGUCAUGACAACAUCAUCCAAAUCCAACCUUUCAUUUUUGGUUUUAAUUCUGUAUUCGUUGUAUUAUGUUUUUUUCUCCAAAAAAAAUAAGUUUUCUUUCAGCUAUAUGAUGAAGAUAUUGUAAUUCGGCCACCCCAGUUUCCAUCUUUCUUUUUAGAGUUUACCACUCUUAAUUUCUCAAAAAAUUGAAUCUAAACCGUCAAAAUCGAAAGUCGUCACACUAGUAGUUUACAGAAUCUCCAUGAAACAAGAAUAAACUUAAAAACUGAAAAUCUGCUGCAUGAAAUUAGAAGAGUUUAAGUCAUAAUCUCAAUGUGCCUUUAUGAGAUUUCAUUGGCAAUGUAUUAUAUAACCCAACACAAAAAAAGCUUAAAUAAAUCGCGAAGAUUUUUUUUAAUAAUAUCUGUGAUUAAUUGAUCAUCACUUGGUUUAUUCGAUAGUGCAUGUUACAUUUAGCGGAAUUCUGAAGAUGGGUAAGUGUUUUUGUUUUGAAUUAAAAAAAAAAUUGGUUAAAAAUCAUUCAGUAAAUCAAGUAAUCAACUAGUCUCUAACCCUUCGUCUAGGCGUCUAUAUAUUAUAUUGGACGAGUAUCACAUAAUCAUCCAUGAUAUUAUUAUGAUACUUUCUAAAAAUCUCAGUGUCACAGUCACGGUAGUAUUUAGGAAAUUUCUUUGGCAUAUGGAUAAUGGUUGGACCUACCACGGAAAUUUAAGGAAUAUUUGUUACCCAUAUUUGACAAACCUUGUAUCCAAGCAUAACCAAAUCAUAUCUCCUCAACCUUACUCAACCCGAUGUCGAAAAUUCUUUCCCUGCCAAGCAUCUCAGUAACAACCUUAACCCUUCCUAGAUCCAUCCAUAUCCGAAAAACUGUGUGAAAAGAAACUUCGAUUACAACCGUGCCGAUGACCGCCCCCCAAGCAUAACCAAAUCAUAUCUCCUGAACCUUACUCAACCCGAUGUCGAAAAUCCAUCCAUAUCCGAAAAACUGUGUGAAAGAAACUUCGAUUACAACCGUGCCGAUGAGACACGUUUUUUCCUAAAAAAACUUUGAGCAAUAAUUGACAAAAACCGAUUUUUACAUGUGUCUUUUUCAUAUUAGUGAAAUUAUUAUUUCAAUAUUUAAAUUUAAUCAUAAAUAAAUUAUAAUAAUAAAUUAAUAUGAAGAGAAUAACAAAUGCUUAAAGAACUGUCCAUAAGAGAAUUGGUGUUAAUAAUGCCCUUAGAGCACCACUAAUGGAUAUAUAAUUUCACAUAUAAUCUCUAAAUUAGUAUAACAAAUACUUAAAAAACUGUGCACAAGAGACUUGUGUUGAUGAUGCCCUUAGAGUAAUGGAUAUAUAAUUUCACAUAUAGUCUCUAAAAUUUCAAAAAAAGUCUCUAAAUUAAUUUGUAUUGAUAUUUUAAUUGCACUAAGUGAGUUAAUAAAUUUUUUGUGUAAAUUAAAUUGAGCCAAUAAAAAUGGACAAGCGUAAAUACAGUCUCUACAAAAUAGUCUCUUUGCAGAGAAAUGAUUGUGGCAUUUUCUAUAAUCUCCUCCAACUUUUUCUUUUUUAAUUAUAUUUUUUGUUGAAAGACUUCCUUGAGAGAUCAUCACAUACUACUCAUCAAAAUCUUCUUCCUUGACUUUCUCAACUAUUUUCUGACAGUUGGCACUAUAUAUAGUAUCUGGUCCAUCUUGGGUUCUUAAUAAUUAAAGAGUUACUAGACCUUCACCCGCCCGACCGGGCGGGUAUUUAUUUUAUUUUUUUAGUUUUGUUAAGUUUAUAUUAAAUGAUGUAUUUGUAGUAUUUAAACAUAAAUUUAUAUUGAAAUUUAAUCUUUGCAGUUAUAAUAAAAAUUAAAAUUAAAAAUUUAACAAAAUAUUCUGAUAUAAAUUUUAUCCUAAUUAAAAUAAUAUAGAGGUGGGUCAUAAUAUUUUUCCAUUUUCAAAAUCUUAGCAUCCCUUAAAACAAAGAAAAUAAAUUUAUAAAUACAUAAAAUAUAUAAACAUCUUUGGAACUAUAAUAUCUAUUAAAAUAAAUUUGUUAAAGAAAAAUAAUCUUGCGCUGUUGUUGUUUAUUUCUAGAGCUUGAUCCGUGACCGUAUAAAUAUUUGCUUUCACUUUAAAUUUCUUUUUUGUACUAAUGGUAUAUAUAUAUUUGUAAAUUAAAAUGUAAUAAAUAAUUGUUAAUAUAACAUUUUAAAACAUAACAAUUUUAUUUAUUACUUUGAAUAAUUAUAUUUUGUGAUUUUAAUUGUUUAUUAUAUCACAAUGUGUCAUAUAAAAAAUCCAAUAUUUAUAACUAAUUGGACUUAUAUUAUGAAAGCAUUAUACUAAUAAUAUAUGAAUAAAGUAUUUUAUAUUUUAUUUAUAUGUUAUAUAAAUUGAUUAUGAUUUGUUAUUUUUCAUUUUAUUAUUUAUUACUAACAAAUAUUUAAAAUAUUUAAUAUGUUAAUAUAAAAUAUAUUAGGAAAUCUAUUUUGGUUAAGAUUUGAUUAAGGAAAGCUAUUAUUUAAAUUUUAAAAAAGACAUUAAAUGCUUAAAUUUAUUAUUUAAAUUAGGAAAAUACAAGUAUACUUAAAUAUAUGUUCAAUAAAUAUCUCAACUGCAUGCUAAUGUAAAUAAAUGGUAAAAUUAAGGGGUAUUUUUAUUUUGUACUUCUAUUUUAAUAAUAUAAAUUAAGAAUAUAAAACUUUUGUUACACGUUCUAUACCGAUAAUACAUGCUUAUGAAAAGUAAAUUUAUCAUUCUUUGUAUUUUGAAUAAUAUAUAUAGUUAGUUGAGAUAAUAUAAUUAGAUUUUUUUGUUAAAAAAUAGCAUGCAAUAAUCAGAUAUGAUUACUUAAUCGAAUAGUAGUUAAAGAAUAUGAAAUAUACUAAAGGAAUAUGGAGAUUGUAGUAAGUAUGAUAUUAUCUUUGGUUAAUAGAAUUUAACAAAAAAAAAAAAUCUUUGGUUAAUAGAAAUUGAAUUUUGACUGUCCUUGAUUGUUACGUAAAUCUGUUUAGUACAACAUUCAAAUUUGUAUUUUAGCAACAUUUUGUUAAGAUUAUGAAAAUAAUAUUUGUGAGAUCACUUUGGUUAAUUUUAUUCUGUUUUUUUUUUCAGAAAACAUGAUUCCUAUUCCACAUAAAUGUAAUUCAUCAAAAUCACAUCUAAGAUUUUGGCAAAUUCGAGGACUGUUUAACACAAGUAGAAAGAAUGAUUCAAAUCGAUUUGUGAUGAAUGUGAGGUGUCUUGGUUAAUAAUUAUUAUAUGGUAUAGGUUUAACAUCUUAUUUUUGUUUGGCCAAUUUAUUUAAAUUGACAAUUGAUGGAGUUUGUUAAAGUUGUUAAAGCCGGUGGUUUAUUUAAGCUGGUAUAGACGUAAUGUUUGGUAAACAAUCUAAAUUAAUUAAGUGGUUUGAUUUAAGUGAUAAACAUGGUUUAUGUCAGUGGCAUAAAGAGGUAAAUAUUGAGAAAAACUCAGGACUAAGUAUAAAAUGUACUUUCCUUUUAAUAGAUUAGAUUCUUGGGUUCACCCCCUAUGGUGAACCUUUAGAUUCACCAAUCAAUAAAAAAUUGUCAUUUUAGAUCUAGUAUCUUUUAAUUAAGUAAACUAAAUAACUUGGCAAAUUAUAUUAUCUUUUUAAAAUAAAAUUUAAAAAUAAAUAAAAAUAAUAUAUAAAAAACAAAUUCAAAAAAAAAUAAUGUUGUCAACAAAACACUAAACCCUAAACUCUAAUACCAAACCCUAAACUCAAAUCCUAAACCCUAAACCCUUGGGUAAAUUCUAUAUCUUUGGAUAAACCCUAAACCCUUGGAAAAACACUAAACAUGUUGUCAACAAAACACUAAACCCUAAACUCUAAUCCUAAACCCUAAACUCUAAUCCUAAACCCUAAACUCUUGGGAAAAUCCUAAACCCUUGGGUAAACCCUAAACUCUUAGGUAAAUCCUAAACUCUUGGAAAAACACUAAAUAUUUGGAUAAAUUCUAAAUUAUAAAUCUUAAACAUUAAAUUCUAAAUCUUAAAAACAAAUUUUUUUUUUAAAUAAUCUUUUUUAGAACUAUUGUUAUUUUUUUUAUUUAAUCUUUUAUUUUUUAUUUUAAAAGCAUAAUAUAAUUUGGCAAGUUAUUUUGUUUCCUUAAUUAAAAGAUACUAGAUCUAAAAUGACAACUUUUCUAUUGGUUGGUGAACCUAAAGGUUCACUCUAUGGGGUGAACCUAAGAAAAAGUCAUAAUUAAAUCAACCUGAUCUUUUGUAUUUAAAAACAGCUAUUGACAGUUUUAAGAUUUAAUAUAUAUAAAAAAUAUUUAAUAUAUAAAGUUAACACACCCGUGACCAUUUAACCCAAAAAACAACCAAACCAGAUUAGUUUUCCACAAGACAAUGCUGUUUUUUCUUCCAAAUCGUUGAUUUAUGGUCCAAUUUUGAUUCCUUUUGUAAACGUUUAUUUCAUUACAAGUUUGACAAGCCCACGUCGAUCACAAAUAGAAAAAUUCCAAAGAUCGCGAUAUGAGCCUUGUUCAUUAAUUAUUAUUCUUUCCUGAAAAUCCUUGGUCAUUAAUUAUCAUGUCAAAUUUUUAUUGAAAGCCAAACCUUAAUAAGUCAAAAUCAUAUUGGCUUUCGCUACUAGACUCCACAUUUUCUAAAAGAAAAGAGAAGAAGAAAACACACAAUGGAAGAUCCAUUACUGGUAAAUUACAAGAAAGAACAAGAAGUAGAUAAGAUAAGAUGGGAGAAGUUGAAGAAAGUGGCAUCCAUGGCGGCUCCCAUGGUGGUCGUAAACAUAUCUCAAACCCUUCUUCAAGCCACUUCUACAAUGAUUGUCGGCCACAAAAGCGAGAUCUCUCUAGCUGGAAUUGCACUCGCCAGCUCCAUAGCUAAUGUAACCGGGUUCAGUCUCCUCGUAAGUUGAACUUGUACAAACUCAUAACAGAUUAUCCUAUUUAAUCUCCUCUGAUUUAAUUUUAUUACAUACAAUUAUUUGAAUAACAGUCUGGACUAGCGAGCGCAUUAGAAACAUUGUGUGGUCAAGCCUUUGGAGCUCGUCAAUACGAGAAGCUCGGGUCAUAUACUUUCACUUCCAUUAUUUCUCUCCUCAUCAUAUGUUUCCCAAUCUCUCUUCUAUGGAUUUUCAUGAAGAAUCUUUUGUUAUUGUUUCAUCAAGACCCCGAAAUAGCAGAGAUAGCUUCUGUUUACUGCCUUUGGCUCAUACCAGCUUUAUUUGGUUACUCUGUACUUCAAUCUUUGAUUCGCUACUUCCAGACACAAAGCUUGAUUUUUCCUAUGGUUCUGUCUUCUUUAACGGUUCUGUGUUUCCACGUGCCGGUUUGUUGGAUUUUGGUUUACACUUUAGGGCUUGGAACCAAAGGUGCAGCUUUAUCUAUAAGCCUUUCGUAUUGGCUCAAUGCGGUUUUCCUCUGGUUUUUCAUGAGACGUUCUCAACUUUGCGAUGGCAAACGCGUUUUUAUAUCGAUGGAAGCGUUUGGUCACAUGAGGACGUUCUUCUCCUUAGCGGUUCCUUCUGCGUUGAUGAUUUGUCUUGAAUGGUCGGCUUUCGAAAUUUUGAUUCUUAUUUCCGGAGUUUUACCCAACUCAAAGCUGGAGACAUCUGUGAUUUCCAUGUGGUAAUACGAAGUCCUAAUUUUUUUGGCAACACUAUAGUCUCUUUGAAUCCUAUGAUUGUUGCGUAUGACCUAAUGGCUACAUUUUCAUUUGAACAGCGUGACAUCGUCUUCUUUGCACUACAAUCUAGCAACUGCGAUUGGUGCGGCCGCAAGGUCAGUUUGUUUAUUAUAUAACUUGUUUAGAAGAAGAAACAAAAAAACAGUUGCACUUAAAUUUGUAUGGACUUACAACUUAUGAGUAGAUUAUAAUUCUAUAUUUCUUUAUAUAGUAUUGCAUUAUAACUCAUUUUCUUCUCUCAUUAUAUGUAGAUGAUAGGUGUUUUAGUCUACUUCAAAUCAAAUUCCAUUUUAAGAUCGGUAACAUAUCCUAUUCGAGUGCUAAUUUUGGGUUUUAAUAUCAUUUUAAGGUUUAAAAAUAAAGCUGAUUGUCAUUGAGUAGAUUAACUUAUGUUUCUUAACAAUUACUCUAUGUCACAUGUGACUCCUAAUAGGUAUUUCAUUGAAGUAAAACACAUGUGAACAUUAAGGGAAACGUCAAUGAAAUGCAAACAGAGAAUCAAAGUGCUAGUCAGUUUAACUAUUUAUUUUAUUUAUUUAAUUGGAUUUACUUAAAUGUUUUAGCACAAAUGUGGCCAACGAACUAGGAGCUGGAAACCUAAUCGCAGCUAAAGCGUCUGCGUUUGUUGCAAUCAUGAUUGCGGCAGUUGAAUCUUCUUCCGUAAGCGUUGCUCUGUUCAUGUUAAGCAACGUUUGGGGCUACGCUUAUAGUAACGUCCCUGAAGUGAUUCACUACGCGGCAGAAAUCACACCGGUUCUCUGCAUUUCCAUUGUCAUGGACAGCUUGUCAGCCUCACUAACCGGUUAGAAAUCCAUAUUCUCUUUAGUCUUUAUAAACACACGAAGAAAAGAUAUUUUCUAUAUAAACGUCUUGUUUAUUUUUGGUGUAUGUGUUUGAAGGGGUUGUGAGAGGAAGUGGUAAGCAGAAGAUUGGAGCUUAUGUGAAUAUCGCUGCGUUUUAUAUCAUCGGAAUUCCUGUAGGAUUUCUCUUCUGCUUUAUACUUGACUUCAAAGUUAAAGGUCUCUGGAUUGGAGUUCUUACUGGAUGCACUGUGCAAACUAUCACCUUGUUUCUCAUUACUACAUUCACAAAAUGGACCAGUGAGGUAACUGAGGCCUCUAGCUCGACUUAAUAUGCCAAUUAUUGCGGUUGUGUUCCCAUAAAAUUAUUUGUAAAGUCUCAGUUAGUACUUUUAUAUUUAUUUUUGAUUUUUUCUAUCAGUAACAUGCGAAUUUUUUAUUUGAAAAACAAAUAAAACAAUACAAAUAUAUUGUAACAUGUAACUGCGAAACCAAAUUUAAAUGUGAAAGAUGUGUGAUAUCCGCCUCUAUGAAUACCUCCAAGUAUGAGAUAGAUGUAGCAUCCAUUCAUAAAUCUAUAUGGGUUGAGACUUAGGUUAUGAAAAACAAAAAAUGUUAGAUUUAAAUCUAAAAAAAUGUCAGAUCAACAUCAAACUUGUUCACCACGUCAAGAGCACAUAUCUGGUGGUAAUAUACUAGAAGCUUUUAAGAAACAGAUUUACCAAAUGAGAUCAAAAUAUCUACACGACCUUUUGUUGACAUAUUCUCUCAUUUCUUCUCCCAAGAGGGACAUCUUUUUACAACUUUCUAAAUAGAAGAAGUUUAGAAAUUUAAUAUAGAGUUUGAUUGUGUUUCAAAAAGAAAAAAUAAUUAGAGUUUGAUUUGAAAAGCAACUCAUAGAGUUCGUAAGAUCAUGCGUCUUAAUUUUGUUAGACCAAAGGAUCAAACAAAUUGCUCUUCAAAGUUGAAUGGCAGAAUUGGUUCCAUAGCUGCAUACCUUUGAAAAUUUAUUCUACUAUUUUUUUUGUUAGAUGUUUUAUCUUUUACUGCAAAUUUAAUUAUAUAUACUAGCUACAUACCUUUGAAAAUGAAUUUAAAUUUACAAAACAAAACAACUCAUGAUAUUCAGAAGGAGAUAGAGGGAGUAAUGGUUCGAUCUCAUCUCCUCUUUUUGUAAACUCUAUAAGCUACAGAUAAUGGUGAAAUCUUCUAUAUUAUUUAUACAAAAAGAAUUGUUUAGUCAAACUUUCAGAUCUGUAGGUGGGUCUAAUUCCAACUCAUAGUCCUAUAGCCAUAUUUUCUGUUUAGAGCAUGAUUAAUUUAUACUGUACAAUAUGUAAGUAUAGAUCCUAACCCUAAUUUCUGGAUAUAAUUUGAGUUUCAUCAGCUAUGGCCCGUAGUCAGAAAGGAAAUAUGACCUAAAAAUUAGAGUGAUUAAGGGAUAAGGAAAAGAAUGUUAGGGUUAUUGUGGCUUUAAUGAGAUCAUUGGUGAUGGAUGCAAGGAGAAUGUAGCCAAUAGAAGGAUGAAAAAGUUAAAGAGGGAACAAAGAAUCUGAGUGAAACAGUUGCUUAAUUCUUAUCUUAUGCCUCUUCACGAUAAGCAUCUUCGUACUUGUCGCUUCCCUAUAGCUUCUUCCUUAUUCUCCUUUACUUUUUCAACCCUAUCUCCAUUCCUUUUCUAUCAUUCCACUAUUCCCCACUCACACCAUUCUUUUAUUAUAUUUAAUAUUUGCAAUUAUGUUCACAAUUACACAUUUACAUGUAUAUACACACACAUAUAUCUUACAGUUAAUUGUCGUUUUACAACUAUGUUAUAUAUCUACUAAUAAUAGGAAUCCCAAUUAAUUCUAAAGGUUGUGAAUCCACUUAUGUUGAAAGGUUGUGUCUUUUGAAAAAGAAGUGUAAAGGGUUGUGUCUUUUCGAAAAGUUCUAUGUUGUAAGGUUGUGUCUUUUCCAAUUAAUUCCAAAGGUUGCGAAUCCACUUAUGUUGAAAGGUUGUGUCUUUUGAAAAAGAACUGUAAAGGGUUAUGUCUUUUCGAAAAGUUCUAUGUUGUAAGGUUCUGUCUUUUCCAAUUAAUUCCUAAGGUUGUGAAUCCACUUAUGUUGAAAGGUUGUGUCUUUUGAAAAAGAAAUGUAAAAGGUUGUGUCUUUUCUAAAAGUUCUAUGUUGUAAGGUUGUGUCUUUUCCAAUUAAUUCCUAAGAUUGUGAACUUCAGUUAUGUUGAAAGGUUGUGUCUUUUGAAAAAUAUGUGUAGAGGGUUGUGUCUUUUCUAAAAGUUCUAUGCUGUAAGGUUGUGUCCUUCUAAAAAUUGUCUAAAAGUUGUGACUAUUCAUACAAUUUUUAAACACAACAAUUUUAAGCGAAAUGAUAAAAUAUAUAGACUUAAAAAGACAUAAGAUAAAGAUGCAAUUUUUAAAGUCAAAAGUGAUAAUAAACAAAACAAUAUAAUAUAUGUUGAAAAUAUAAAUUAAGAAAAUACAAUUUAAAAAUAAAAUCAGUUAUAAACGAAAAGGUACCUUGAAUGGUUAUAAACGAUAAUGUACCUUAAACAGUCAUGAGCAUAAUUAAAAUGAAAAGACAUGUCCCUAUGAAUUAAUUGGGUUUGCCAACCAUUUAAAUGAAUCAUUGCAAUUGUUUGGAUGAACAUUUACAACUGUUUAAUUGAACUGUUACGACCUUACAUGAUUAAUCAUUGUAAGUUUUGAUCUUCAACCAUUGCAACAUUUAGUUACCUUACAUGAUUAACCAUUGUAAGUUUUGAUCUUCAACCAUUGCAACAUUUAGUUACGAAUCAUUGUAAUUCUAUUAACCAUUGCAAUAGUUGGUGGUUAAGCAUUGCAAUCUUUGGUCUUCUACAUAUAGUAGUUGUGAACAAUGAAAAAAUCAAACAACAAAAAAAUAUCAGAACAAAUAAAAAAUAGAUAAAAAGGAGAAAGAUUCACUGCUCCAAAGGAUCAUAAAAUAUUUUUAUAGGAUAAGACAAAUAAAUUUAUCUUUUCUUUUAAGCAAAUAUACAAAAGAUAUAAACAAAGUUUCCAAGUUUUAUAUGUGUUUGCUCCAAAAUAUUUUAGCAAAAAUCUUUUUACUCUUCAAAUGCUAAUCAAUUAUGGUUCAGAAAUGCAUGUGUGGCAAAAGAUUUAUUAGAAGGAGAUGAAGAGUGGCAUGAUACAAUUAAAAGGCAUCAAUUUGGGACACACGAAAUCAAUUUGUAUUUACCAAUCAUAUUAUUAAUUUACUGGAAAGUUACAAAUUCAUUACAAUUAUGAAAUUCAUAUUGAAAAUAAUCUCCUGAAGACAUAGAGUUCCAGCAGAAAAAUCGGUGAAUUUUUUUUUACAACAAACCCGUGGUUCAUUUCCAAAUGAUAAUUAAUAAUGGUGUUUUAUUAUUUUCUAAAACAACAAAUUUCUAUAUCUAUAAUCGUUAACAAUUCUAUUUCUUCAACCUUAAAAAGUUUAUAAACAUUAAAAAGUUGGUGUUUACAGUUAUAAUAAAAAUGGCAUUACUAAAAUGAUUCUUAAGAUCAGUUACAAAAAACAGAUUCUUAAGAUACAUAAAUUAAGAUAGUAAGAAUAUGUGUUCUAAAGAUGAAGAGUUAUUGUGUCUCACACAAAUGCACCAAGUGCUGUUGAAUCUAUGUACCAGAAGAUAAGAAAAUAAAUAGUGCUUGUUAAGAAAUGAAGAUGAUGAUGGAAUUGAGGUUUAUGGUAAAUGUUAAAAAUUAUAUUUGAUCAAAAAAGUAAACGUUAAUAUAUUAAUCUAAGAGGUGUGUGCAUGCUUAAAAAAUACGAAUGAGGAGUUGCAAGUUAAAGAGACAGUUACAAACUUAACUUCUCUUUAAUUUGUAACCUUCAUUUUGUUAUUAAAUAUUUUUUAUUUAACAUUACUUGUCGAAAACUAAACUGUCAAAAAGUUUAGUCAAUACUUUAUUGUAGUCUAAUAAUCACAUCUCUGUAAUCUCUGAGAAUAUUUUCUAAAAGUGUCUAAAAUGUAUAUUUUCUCUAAAUAAAUAUUAAAGUUGUGAUUUUCAUCAUAUUGUAUCUUUCAUCUUAAAAAUGACAUUAUUUAAAAAAUGUUAUCAAAAUAUAUAAGUAUAUAUCUAUUCAUCUUAACAAUAUGUUUUUCAUUUUAAGAAUUAUGUUCGUGUAGAAGAAGUAGUCAAGUGUAUAAGGAUGUAUCUUUUCAUCUUAAACAUUGCUUUUAUUAAAAAUAAAUUAUCAAAAUGUCAAAAAGUGUAUAUUUUCUCUAAAUAAAUGUCAAAAGUUACAAUUUUUCAUCUUAAAUACAUUUUUUAAAAAUGUUGUCAAAAAUAUAUGAAUAUGUAUCUUCUCUUUUAUAUAAAAUGUGGCAUAUUUUUUCUAAAAUAAAUUCUCGUGCGAUAUCGCACGGGUUUCCUUUCCUAGUACUAAAUAGAGUAAUAUUGUAAGAAAUCAUUAAAACAUAUUUUUUUCUUAAAACUAGCACAUAUAAGAAAAAAAUAUAGAAUAUCAUUUAUUAGUUAAACACUUUUUAUUUUAUAUUUGAGUUUAAAACUUUUUUUAACAUCAAACGACUGAUAUUAUUAAAAGCUUGAUAAUAGGAACAACCAAUGUAAUAAAAAUCUUUAUGAUAAACUUUUGAUAUCUUAUCUAAUGAUCAAUAUGUUGUUUGUUUUCAGAAUGUAGAUGAUAAACAACAGAGAAGUAUACAAAUCUUUUCUUCAGUCUUGAUAUGUCUUGAUAUCUCUUUUAACUCUCUAGACCAAUUUGACAAUGUUUUUUGUUCUUGUAUCAUCGAAAUUAUGUCUUUGCCGCAAUCAGUUCCAAAGUGUUGGCACAUCAAUAUUUGCAGCAUAUAUUCCAUAACCCCAAAAAAAACUCAAGGUCUACAUGUAUAGAGAUUAUUGAUUAGUGUUUAAGCUAGCAUUUUAGAAAUUAGUCAUUUAAUCCUUUAAUAAAUACUAUUCUAAGAUUUUUUUUCAUUUAUAUGCUACGUUGUCAUAAAUAUUUUUAUAUGCUAUCUAAGAGAUUUUUCCACGUAGAGAAAUGUCACAUUUCGACCCUACUCUUUUCAAAUUUAUAUUUGCUAGUUUUUUUGGGAACUAAGUCUAUUAUAUUCUCAAGGUUGAGUGGUUUUUGUUUUGGUUUAACAAUAAAUACGAUUAAGAGAACUAAGUAGAGCCAGUUACCUUUGUUUCUUACACAUGUAGUUCUAUCAUUCAGCUAUAUAACAAUUACUUUUAGUUGGUUCUAAAAAUUCAAUGUAAAUAUUUAUCGACAGACUUGUGGCUUUGGUCAAGCAUAAGCAUAGGACAGAGCAAAGUAUCCAUAAUAUUUGAUACGUUUAUAUUCGAACUAAAAACUCGGAUAUUCGUAACUCUACGAAACAAAAUAAAUACUUUUAUAUGCAAUAUAUGUUAAAAACAACAUGAAUUACAAAUACUAUUAUUUCUAGGAAAAUAUAUUCAGUCGGAUCCAUUAUAUAUAUAUAUGUAAAUCAUAGUUAUCAUAUUUAAUGUAAGUUUACAAUAUGUUUAAUUAUUAAAUUGAUUAUUUUAGCUAUGGGGAUUUUAAUAUGUACCAAAUUAUUAUUAUGUUAUAUUAUAUAUUUAUUUUUUAAUUUUUAUUUUAUUUAUACGAUUGAAUUAGAUAUCCAGUAAAAUAUAAAAUUUUUUAAUAUCCAAACACUGAAUAUUCAGAUAAAUAUGAAUCAGAUCGAAUCGAAAAAUAAAUUGAUUAUUCAGAUAAAAUAUCGGAUUUGAUUUACGAAUAUUUACAAAAACUUAGAUAUAUGACUCGUGUCUAUUACUCAAGCCAGCAUCGCACAUGUAAUCUUAUUAUCUCUACAGAAAUCUAGAAACAAUUCUGCCUGAGUGAAGAAUAUAUAAAUGUAUGUAUCUAAAAAGAAAACAGAUAAAAGUAUACUCCUUGAUUAGAUGCAGUGCAUUAACCUUUUUGUGACUGUACGCCAAUUGUGUACCCAAAUUCACGGUCUUUUGUCCCAAGUAAAGAUAUGAUUGGAUAUAGCAGCUUUUUUUAUUGUUUUGCCAAUUACAACGCGACGCAUGGUUCAUGGACGUAACAGACACCAUUAAUAAAUAUUAAAUAAUAACUAAACUAGUUGCUGCGCUGAUAAAAAAAAAGUUAGGUUUAUACGGGAAAAAUGUCGAAAAUAUAUUAAGUCUGUAUAAUUAGUCGCGUAGUAUGCAAAGUUUAUUAUUCGUCAAAUAAUUACGAAGUUUGCAUUGACUGAGUUAUUUUAAAUAUGAACAUAGUUAACGUGAAUUAUAUUUUUCUUAUUCUUCAUGUAUAGUUUACAAGAUCGAAAAUCCCAAGUUCCUUCACUAACACUAGAUCUCCAACUUCGUUUCUCAAAAAUUACAACUGUUGAACAAUAGAGUUCAUAUAAAUUAAGUUCUCAUAAAAAUUAAUCUUUACCCAAAUAUAUCCUGAAGUCCUGAUCUCGAGCUAAUAAGGGAGAGAGAAGAGAUCGAGUUAGGUGUUGGUGAGAGGCACAGGGAAGUUGGCACUGUUCAUAACGGCCAUAUAUGGCACUGUUCAUGUUGCCUAUCCCUAAUCUAAAAUAGCUCAGCCAAAGUAAAUUUUGUGAUUUAUUUAGGACUAGGAUAUUAGGCAGAUUGGCCAAGUUUAAAGAAAAUUUUAAUCAUUUUUUGUGCUUAAUUUGAGAUGCUUGUUACGAAGAAGAUCUCUAUUGGAAACACAUAUACACACACAUUAUAAUAUAAAUGUACCCUUUUAGGUAAAGAUUAAUUUUUUCAGUGACAAAAAAAAAGAAGGUAAAGAUUAAUUUUUUUUCUUUUGGGUAAACCUAAAGAUUAAUUUUACGGAGCAAUAAUUUAAAUUUGAUAUCUUAGGGUUCUUCAACUCUCGUUCAGUCAUUCGGUGAGCCCAAGUGUUCCCUGGAAUAUAGCUUUGAAGACUCUAGAGUUGGUUUCCAUCCACAGAAUCUCAACUUAUCGUAGUGACAAAGUGACAAGACUUUUAUGCUUCAUCUUUCACUUGAAACCAUGUUUUUGCAUUAAAAUUAUUUAAAUCCGGUUCUCUUUUGUAUUUCUAAAGUUCUGUGUGUGGAUUUGGCACUUAUAUAUAGAAAAAAGCGUGUAAUAACAUAAGGCUGGAAUUGGAUAUUUCGCAUGGUGAUAAGGUUCAAGAUUUUUUGAAUAAGUUAUUUAACGAAAAUUUUAAAAGAUAAAGUUAAACAAAAAUCAAAUGUUGAACUGUUGAAGUGGAAGCGACUCUUGCAGUAAUACAAAAGAGAACUAGGCUAGUUCCUGCGUCGUUCACUGGUCUGUAAAGUUUGGUCGUCGGUCAAAAAGAAACAACUGAUAAUAGUAUUAUACUAAUACUUUUUUUUUUGUAACACAAUAGUAUUAUAAUACUAUAAAUGGAUUCUCGAACAUGAUGCAAAUCACCUGUAGUUUUGGUGGCUUUAAAUCAGUUGAGAAACUAUGACCAACCAAUUACUUUCGAAAGGUGUAAUGGAAUUAAACUAGGGAUGGUCGAUGUGAUUGAGACUAAUUUCUCAAUGUGGAAUGUGACAAAAAGAUCUGUCUCCAGAAACCUCCAACCAACUAGCAUGCUUAUUAGCCUUUCUUAGGCAUACGGAAUUUAGACAUAAAAUUCUUACUAGUACGUGCGCAUGUAGAGGAACCUUCAAUGGUGCCAACUACCAAGACUAUGAUAUCUCCGUUCCCAAAUACAAAGAUUAAUCAUAUAAAAGUUGAAGUACCAAUGUGCACAAAAAAAGAAGUACCAACAAAUAUAGACAAACACGGAAACUAUUAUGAAUAAGUUCUUAAAUAAUUCAUAACUUUUUACCUGUAUUUAUUUUGCAAUUGUAUAUUAGCUUUUGUUUGUUAUAGAUGAAGGGGCUGAACUGAUAAUUUUAGCCUCCCGUACUAUAGUAUCGUACAAGGUUAACAAUAAUAUUUUUAAAUUUUAGCAUACUAUUUAUAUUUGUAAGAUAAAUAUUUUAUAUAUUUGUAUACUUGUACAUAGACAUUUGGUUUGUAAGAUUCUCUCCAAUAUUUUAACAUGUGACAAGAUUUGUUUGGCUAAUGUGAUAGAAGUAUGAAAUGUUUAUAGGGAACCCUAAAACUUUGAUCAAAUUUAGAUUUAGUCCAACUCAAUAAUUGGAUUAUUUACAUGUACUUAUGUAAAACUAAUAUUAUAUUCACUAUGUGCUAUCUUUUUUUAUUAUUGCUCUCGAUAUAAACAAUUUUUUUGUUGUUCAAGAAUCAAAGAUAAAUUUAUAUAUGGUGUUAUCAAAGUUUUCUCUUCAAAUUACCUAGCUAAAAUAGUAUUAUAUAAAUGUUGGUAUUAUAAAAUGUAAUGUUGGAUCGAUUUUGAACGACGAUUAUAUCAAACUGUUUGUGGUUUAGUGGUUAUAUAAAGAUGUUAAUUCCUUUGUGUUUUGAAUUCAAACCUUCUCUAAUACGGUGUUCUAUUUUUUUUAAUUCGGAUUUCCAUAAUUGAUUAUAAAUCUAAAAUAUAUUAUGAGCCUAAGAUUUAGAAUUCGUACAUUAUUUAAGAAGUUGGUUGUAUAAAAUGUGAUGUUGGAUCGUUUUCCCAGCGGCAUGUAGUUGAUGAUAAGGGAUCAAUACCGAUCAGUGCUAUUGUAUAAAGGUUAGACUGAUUUCUACAGUUACAUAUACUGUUACUGGAGUUCAGCAAGCCUUCAUGGUUAUGCCUUGACGUGAUGCAAGCUUCACGAAUUAGCCAAGAUUUUAAACGAACGCCUUGGUAAGUUUUUUACAUCUUUGGAUCAUGUUGUCCAGGGGCGGACCUAGGUGAGCACUAGGUGUGGCAAGAGGACCUAGGUGAGCACUAGGUGUGGCAAGAGGACCUAGGUGAGCACUAGGUGAGGCAAGAGCCACAUACAAAAUUUUAAAUUUUCAUUAGUUGUAUUGUAAAUUGAGGAACUCAAAGGGCUUAAUCAAUCUCCUAUGCCCCAUUCUUUUUCGAUUGAAAUUUUUGUUAAUUACUAUGGUGUGCCCCAUGUUGCAAUGCUUACUAGAUCCUCCCUGGUUGUCCGCCAUCCAAGAUCAAAAUAAUUUAUAGGAUUUGAAGAAACAUUUGUUGUGUAUCUUUUUCCAAGGCAUUGGUUAAAAAUAAGGAUAAGAGC